GUGGGGAAUAUUGGACAAUGGGCGCAAGCCUGAUCCAGCCAUGCCGCGUGUGUGAAGAAGGCCUUCGGGUUGUAAAGCACUUUUGUCCGGGAAGAAAUCUUCCAGGUUAAUACCCUGGGAGGCUGACGGUACCGGAAGAAUAAGCACCGGCUAACUUCGUGCCAGCAGCCGCGGUAAUACGAAGGGUGCAAGCGUUACUCGGAAUUACUGGGCGUAAAGCGUGCGUAGGUGGUUCGUUAAGUCUGCCGUGAAAGCCCCGGGCUCAACCUGGGAAUGGCGGUGGAUACUGGCGGGCUAGAGUGCGGUAGAGGGUGGUGGAAUUCCCGGUGUAGCAGUGAAAUGCGUAGAGAUCGGGAGGAACAUCUGUGGCGAAGGCGGCCACCUGGACCAGCACUGACACUGAGGCACGAAAGCGUGGGGAGCAAACAGGAUUAGAUACACCGGUAGUCC
This 450-nucleotide ribosomal RNA is filed under the name uncultured bacterium. Its description in RNAcentral is "partial 16S ribosomal RNA". It matches the Rfam family "Bacterial small subunit ribosomal RNA", at positions 354 to 796 of the family's 1533-position model. The record is from RNAcentral.